RNAcentral lists this ribosomal RNA (205 nucleotides) under Staphylococcus aureus. Its description in RNAcentral is "partial 16S ribosomal RNA". It matches the Rfam family "Bacterial small subunit ribosomal RNA", at positions 682 to 885 of the family's 1533-position model. Lineage: Bacteria; Bacillati; Bacillota; Bacilli; Caryophanales; Staphylococcaceae. The record is from RNAcentral.
UGAAAUGCGCAGAGAUAUGGAGGAACACCAGUGGCGAAGGCGACUUUCUGGUCUGUAACUGACGCUGAUGUGCGAAAGCGUGGGGAUCAAACAGGAUUAGAUCCCCUGGUAGUCCACGCCGUAAACGAUGAGUGCUAAGUGUUAGGGGGUUUCCGCCCCUUAGUGCUGCAGCUAACGCAUUAAGCACUCCGCCUGGGGAGUACGA